CUUUCUUUUGUCUGGCGACCGGCGCACGGGUGAGUAACACGUAUCCAACCUGCCCUUUACUCGGGGAUAGCCUUUCGAAAGAAAGAUUAAUACCCGAUAGCAUAAUGAUUCCGCAUGGUUUCAUUAUUAAAGGAUUCCGGUAAAGGAUGGGGAUGCGUUCCAUUAGGUUGUUGGUGGGGUAACGGCCCACCAAGCCUUCGAUGGAUAGGGGUUCUGAGAGGAAGGUCCCCCACAUUGGAACUGAGACACGGUCCAA
Molecule: ribosomal RNA, 256 nt
Filed under: uncultured bacterium
Lineage: Bacteria
Description: partial 16S ribosomal RNA
Rfam family: Bacterial small subunit ribosomal RNA
Source: RNAcentral